AGUGAACGCUGGCGGUAGGCCUAACACAUGCAAGUCGAACGGCAGCACAGUAAGAGCUUGCUCUUACGGGUGGCGAGUGGCGGACGGGUGAGGAAUACAUCGGAAUCUACUUUUUCGUGGGGGAUAACGUAGGGAAACUUACGCUAAUACCGCAUACGACCUACGGGUGAAAGCAGGGGAUCUUCGGACCUUGCGCGAUUGAAUGAGCCGAUGUCGGAUUAGCUAGUUGGCGGGGUAAAGGCCCACCAAGGCGACGAUCCGUAGCUGGUCUGAGAGGAUGAUCAGCCACACUGGAACUGAGGCACGGUCCAGACUCCUACGGGAGGCAGCAGUGGGGAAUAUUGGACAAUGGGCGCAAGCCUGAUCCAGCCAUACCGCGUGGGUGAAGAAGGCCUGCGGGUUGUAAAGCCCUUUUGUUGGGAAAGAAAAGCAGCAGGUUAAUACCCCGCUGUUCGGACGGGACCCAAAGAAUAAGCACCGGCGAACUUCGU
Molecule: ribosomal RNA, 491 nt
Filed under: uncultured bacterium
Lineage: Bacteria
Description: partial 16S ribosomal RNA
Rfam family: Bacterial small subunit ribosomal RNA
Source: RNAcentral